UCACUUUGUCGUGUUUAUUAAGUAUCCCAUGUUGCUGCAUUUUGAUUAGUUUGGUUACCAUAAAAAUGUUGUUGAAUAUUUUAAUUUGAUUGAAUCCGUUCACGUGUAUCGAUUGUGGUACUAAACUAUGGGUUUUGAGUCUAUGUAUGCAUUAUGAAUAGGCGUUGAGUCUGUUAAGUUGUAUGGUCAGUUACCUUUCUAUUGUUUCAAGUGUGGCAAGGUCAAGUGUGCUUUGUUGCAGUUGGUAUAAGUCAUGUCUGUUGUGGUUUCCUCACCUGGUUUGUUGUGUUUUAUCUCUGCGGUGCUGCUUAGUCCGUGGUUUGGUUUUUGUGGUUUUGGGGUCUGUUGCAAGUGUUUCUUCGGGGUUGGCAAAAUGUUGUCGCUGUUCGGUACUGCAGUAGUGUUUUGGGGGUCCUGUUAGUGUUGUUUCGGCGGUCUGUAGCAGUCUCGCUUUCUCUGGUUUAUUGUGUCUGUUUUGGCUCUCAACUGGUUGCUUUGGGAGAGUUUGAUUAGCUUUUUGUAAUUCUCUUUUUCUUUGGUUUGUUCUUCCUGCUUUUGCAGUGGUGUUGUAUUGUUUGUGUUCCUUCUAGGUAUGUUUUGUUCUCCCUGCAUACGUUACUGCUACUAUUUCAGUUGUAACUUAGUCUCUAGGAUGGUAUAAAUAAGGGCAAUCCAUCAUGUAUCAUCAUCUAAGUUUGUUGUAAAACUGAGUGUUCUCUUUUGAGACAUUAGAGUGGAUUCUUUAUUGGCUUAUGAGUUAAACAUCAAUGAAUGUAUCUCUCAUAAGUAAAUUUGGUCACUCAACGUGGUUUCUUGUUUUUAUUUAAUAAUAUGGAGUUGAAUGUAUAUUCUAUUAGUCUGUUUGGUUUAUCAAAUUGCUAUAGAAAAUACACUCAAAAAUAUUUUGUAAUUUUGAUACAUCAAGAUAUUAUAGUGACACCACCACCAAUUUUUAGAGAUCAAAAUUUCUUGUAUUUCUAGUGAGAUUGCUUGUAUUUCUGUACCUACUGUUCUUAGUGUAGAAACUGUUUUGCAGCAUCCUUAAAUUUUCUUCUAACCAAGGAAACAAAAUAGUGUUGAUCAUUUAUAAGUUUCUAGCUUUUGGCUCAUCUCUUUAAAUACACUCCUUGACAAGGCCUCGGUUAAAUAGUAAUGUACUUGAUUAGUAAAGAUAUUACUCAACAUGAUGAGACUUGAGUCAAUAUAAUGCUUUAAUUAUCUCUUCAGAAUGAAUAGGAUUAUUAGUUUUAUACUUACUGCCAUGUUAUCCUUGAACACGUUGAAUCCAAAGUUAUGCAUUUAUUAAAAGUUCCUGAUUCAUAUAAUAAAACUAGAUGAAUGAUAAGAGAUUUGGGACUUGAUUAUAGUAAGAUUGACGCAUGUCCUAAUGACUGUAUGCUAUAUUGGAAAGAUCAUAAGAAUGACAUAUCAUGCCAUGUUUGUGGUGCUUCACGGUGGAUUGAAAGUACUACAGAAAGUGGUCAGAUUGAGGAAAACAAGAAAGAACACAAAGUCUCAACAAAAAUAUUAAGACAUUUUCCUUUGAUUCCUAGACUGCAAAGGUUGUUUAUGUGUUCAGAGACAGCCACUUCAUUAAGGUGGCAUCAUGAUGAUUGUUCCAAAGAUGGAAAAUUAAGGCAUCCUGCUGAUGGACAAGCAUGGAAAGACUUCAAUGGUCAUCAUCCUGAAUUUGCUCGUGAUUCACGUAACAUACGACUUGGAUUGGCUAGUGAUGGAUUCAAUCCAUUUAGAGCAAUGAAUUUGAAAUAUAGUGCAUGGCCUGUUAUACUGAUUCCUUAUAAUUUCCCACCAUGGUUGUGUAUGAAGGCUGAGUAUACAAACCACCGGAUGCUUCGAUUUCUUUGAUUCUGGAUCAGUCAGUCAUGAAGCUCACAGUGAAGACUCUGAAAGGAAGCCAUUUCGAAAUCAGAGUUCAUCCUUCUGAUUCUAUAAUGGCUGUAAAAAUGAAUAUUGAAGACAUUCAAGGAAAAGAUAAUUACCCAUGCAGACAACAAUUGCUAAUUCACAAUGGAAAAGUUUUGAAAGAUGAAACUACUUUAGCUGAUAAUGAAGUCUCUGAAGAUGGCUUUCUUGUUGUCAUGCUCAGUAAAUAAUAGAUCUAUGAGUGGUGAGUGUUUCGUUGAUAACUCUGAAGAAGAGGAUGAAGAACACUUAUUUGAUGAAUCAGACGAAGAGGAUGAAGAACAAUUCUUUGAUGACUUGGACGGAGAUGAGGAUAAAGAAUAAUUUGACUCAUUAAUUCUUGUUUAUUUUCAUUAUUUGAUGUAAUAAAUUUCACAUUGAAGGCUAAAUUGUCGAUAUUAAUGACAAAAUUGAUUAACUUUGGUUAGACAUUUAUUUUAAUGUAAUAAAUCUCACAUUGAAGGCUAAA
Molecule: RNA transcript, 2392 nt
Organism: Medicago truncatula (barrel medic)
Lineage: Eukaryota; Viridiplantae; Streptophyta; Magnoliopsida; Fabales; Fabaceae
Gene name: ubiquitin receptor RAD23b
Exons: 3
Source: RefSeq, a predicted model, not a curated record